UACGUAGGGGGCAAGCGUUAUCCGGAUUUACUGGGUGUAAAGGGGGCGCAGACGGCGAUGCAAGCCAGGAGUGAAAGCCCGGGGCCCAACCCCGGGACUGCUCUUGGAACUGCGUGGCUGGAGUGCAGGAGGGGCAGGCGGAAUUCCUGGUGUAGCGGUGAAAUGCGUAGAUAUUAGGAGGAACACCAGUGGCGAAGGCGGCUUACUGGACGGCAACUGACGCUGAGGCUCGAAAGCGUGGGGAGCAAACAGG
Molecule: ribosomal RNA, 253 nt
Filed under: uncultured bacterium
Lineage: Bacteria
Description: partial 16S ribosomal RNA
Rfam family: Bacterial small subunit ribosomal RNA
Source: RNAcentral